GACGAACGCUGGCGGCGUGCCUAACACAUGCAAGUCGAGCGAUGAAACCCUUCGGGGUGGAUUAGCGGCGGACGGGUGAGUAACACGUGGGUAACCUGCCUCAAAGAGGGGGAUAGCCUCCCGAAAGGGAGAUUAAUACCGCAUAACAUUAGUUUUUCGCAUGAAGAACUAAUUAAAGGAGUAAUCCGCUUUGAGAUGGACCCGCGGCGCAUUAGCUAGUUGGUGAGGUAAAGGCUCACCAAGGCGACGAUGCGUAGCCGACCUGAGAGGGUGAUCGGCCACAUUGGAACUGAGACACGGUCCAGACUCCUACGGGAGGCAGCAGUGGGGAAUAUUGCACAAUGGGCGAAAGCCUGAUGCAGCAACGCCGCGUGAGUGAUGAAGGCCUUCGGGUUGUAAAGCUCUGUCUUUUGGGACGAUAAUGACGGUACCAAAGGAGGAAGCCACGGCUAACUACGUGCCAGCCGCCGCCGUAA
This 476-nucleotide ribosomal RNA is filed under the name uncultured bacterium. RNAcentral's name for it is "partial 16S ribosomal RNA". It matches the Rfam family "Bacterial small subunit ribosomal RNA", at positions 28 to 523 of the family's 1533-position model. The record is from RNAcentral.